Molecule: ribosomal RNA, 253 nt
Filed under: uncultured bacterium
Lineage: Bacteria
Description: partial 16S ribosomal RNA
Rfam family: Bacterial small subunit ribosomal RNA
Source: RNAcentral
GACAGAGGGGGCGAGCGUUGUUCGGAAUUACUGGGCGUAAAGGGCGUGUAGGCGGUGCGGUAAGUCGGACGUGAAAUCCCCGGGCUUAACUCGGGGGGGUCGUUCGAAACUGCCGUGCUCGAGUGUGGGAGAGGGAAGUGGAAUUCCCGGUGUAGCGGUGAAAUGCGUAGAUAUCGGGAAGAACACCGGUGGCGAAGGCGGCUUCCUGGCCCACAACUGACGCUGAGGCGCGAAAGCUAGGGGAGCAAACAGG